Molecule: long non-coding RNA, 656 nt
Filed under: Mus spicilegus (steppe mouse)
Lineage: Eukaryota; Metazoa; Chordata; Mammalia; Rodentia; Muridae
Description: lncRNA (ENSMSIG00000022174.1)
Source: RNAcentral
CUCUGAGACAGGGAUAUCCUGACAUAUGGAAUCUUUUGGAGUUCCAUUCAUUGUCCUUCUAAUAAUCUGUAUCAAGAUAAAGAGGAAUUUGAGAACUAACCAACAACUUCGGAAUCCUGUAUUAUGACUGUACAAAUACAACCCUCCAUCUGAGAUCAGUGUUUACAGAGCCCAGAAGCCAUGAUUAGGAAACAAUACCACAGCUCUUGGUAUUUUAUUCAGUCUCUUCACUUCUUGGACCUACCAUAUUUUGUCGUUUGAUCUGUGCAAAAAUUCAGUGUGUGCCCACAUAUCUGAAAGACUGGUGUUUGAGUGGUUGUGACAGACGACACAGAUGCUAUAACUGUUUUUUUAUUUUUUUUUAUUUAUUUAUUUUUAGAAAAGCCAUAAUACAGAGAGUCACAGCAUGCAUAUCAGUGGACACUGGAGAAUGUCAUGCACUCUUGAGUUUGACAAUGCCUUAUGUUUCUGCUGAGACAAAGGAAUAAUAUUAUAAUGAAUAUUCCUCUGUGCAAAAUGAUCUGUAUCAUCAACCUGUGAGAAAAUUCAAAGGUUGAAUUACUGGCUCAAAAAUUAUCAUUUUAAUAGCUUAGGUAAUAUUACUGCUAAAUAUAUUUUAUGGCAUGCCCAUUUAUCCUUAUUGUAUUUAUAAGAAU